CUUUAGAGUUACCAAAGUGCGACGUAGUCGCAACAGUUGGGAAGCUGUGCCAUAGAGGGUGAAAGCCCCGUAGACGAAACGUCACACUCUCUGUUCAGGAUCCUGAGUACGGCGGGACACGGGAAACCCCGUCGGAACCCGCGAGGACCAUCUCGCAAGGCUAAAUACUCCCUAGUGACCGAUAGUGAACCAGUACCGUGAGGGAAAGGUGAAAAGCACCCCGGAAGGGGAGGGAAAUAGUUCCUGAAA
Molecule: ribosomal RNA, 249 nt
Filed under: Limosilactobacillus reuteri
Lineage: Bacteria; Bacillati; Bacillota; Bacilli; Lactobacillales; Lactobacillaceae
Description: Lactobacillus reuteri partial 23S ribosomal RNA
Rfam family: Bacterial large subunit ribosomal RNA
Source: RNAcentral